Non-coding RNA from Pelobates cultripes (western spadefoot toad), 262 nucleotides. The record is from the annotation of a GenBank genome assembly. NCBI's taxonomy places the organism in Eukaryota, Metazoa, Chordata, Amphibia, Anura, Pelobatidae.
AGAAGUCGUCCAGUACAUCCGCCAUUUCCAGCUCGCUUGCACCGUGCGGCCUUCUAAAGAGUUCACUGAUAUCGGCCAUGUUCCCGGGCCGGUCCGGCCUCGGUUUUUUAUUCUUCCGCCCCAUCUGCUUACCGACACAGUUAGCUACGUCCAGGGCAAAUUGGGUUCCAGAAAGGUACCUUUUUUCAGGCUUUAAUAAGCUUUUCCGACGGAGCUCCGCGGACAUGCGACCGCUCCGAUCGUGAGUUGGCUCCGCCCCCAG